UACGAAGGGGGCUAGCGUUGCUCGGAAUUACUGGGCGUAAAGGGCGCGUAGGCGGGUCGUUAAGUUGGGGGUGAAAGCCCGGGGCUCAACCUCGGAAUUGCCUUCAAUACUGGCGACCUUGAGUGUGAGAGAGGUGUGUGGAACUCCGAGUGUAGGGGUGAAAUUCGUAGAUAUUCGGAAGAACACCAGUGGCGAAGGCGACACACUGGCUCACUACUGACGCUGAGGCGCGAAAGCGUGGGGAGCAAAC
This 250-nucleotide ribosomal RNA is filed under the name uncultured bacterium. Its description in RNAcentral is "partial 16S ribosomal RNA". It matches the Rfam family "Bacterial small subunit ribosomal RNA", at positions 524 to 773 of the family's 1533-position model. The record is from RNAcentral.